CCUCCUCCUGUGGUGUUUCAAAACUGUGCUGGGAGAGGUUUGCUGCUGCCUGGGGAGUUUUUCUGAGGUUACUCCCGAGCACCCAAAGUCCUUCGGUCUGCAGCCAUACAGACACCCAGAGAAGCUACAGACAGGCAGAGGCUAUUUUCUGAUGAGGCUUCAUCAGCUUUGCUAAUCAGCUGGUUGAAAAUAAUCCCUCAAACACUACAGAGUCAAGGAUACAGGUAUUACAGGAUUUCCUGAGAGAAAAGCCGAGCAGGAGAGGAGGCCUAGCCCCCCAGGGCACCCCAGCCACACUAGCCUGUCCUGAUGCACAGCCAAGCGCUAUAAAAACGACUGCCUUUGUCCUUCUACCUCCCACCUUCUCAAAGCUCAGCCCUUACCGUCUAGCCCAGGCCCAAGGGACUGGUGAGUUGAUCUUUUGCUUUAAUGCUGAUAUUCAGUCUCAAGAGCUCCUAUGAAUGACCAUAAGCACAAAUAGUGUGCCCCUUCCCAAUGGGCUGGCUCAGAGCUGUGAUUCAUAUCGAAUCUUUCAUCUCUUGCCAAUAACUCAUAAGCUUGCUUGAGAAGGAAAGACCGAAGGUUUUAGGCUCACUAUUGAAAGAGGAAGAAUUUUAAGAGUGGCUUGCUACACUUGGUCCUUCAAUGUUGACUCUUUGGAGCUUGCUUGCAAUGGGAGGUUAUGUGGUUCUGUUCAGAUGCUGGCAUCAUGUAUACUUCCCAUGAUGCGAAAUCAGGUGUAAUUACACUGUGAAUGGAACCUUGGUAAAAAUGGAAUAGCUUAAUUGAAUUAAACUCUACUGUACUUGUAGACGAUGGCCAUAAUUCAGUCAAUAAGUUGAAUCAGUAGAGUCCUGUUUCCUACCAGGACCCUGUCUUCUAUUCCACCUUUUUUUUUCUUUUAACUAAGUUAAAACUUAACUGAAAAUGGCCGUCUUUCUUAUCUGAAAGGGGCUCACCAUGCACAGAGCACAUAUUUUAAUUUUUUCUUUUAUUCCCCUCUUUUGUUUAACCCCCUUCUGCCAUAGCAUAUAUCAAAUAAUGAUUUAAAGAACAGGUCUGAGACUAUGGCCCUUAGGCCAAAUCCUGUCUACCACUUGUUUUGUAAAUAAAGUUUUAUGGGCACACAGAGCAUCCAUUUGUUUAUGUAUGGUCUAUGCCUGUUCUCAUACUGCUUCAGAGUUGCAUAGUUGUGACAAGGACCAUAUAGCCCCCAAAGGUUUAAAUGUUUACUAGCUGGCCCUUUAUAGAAAAAGUGCGCUGACUCCCGAUUUAGUGUAUGUGUUGGAGUCAAACAUGCCUAAAUUCAAAUCAGAUCUUGGUUACUUGCUAGCUUGUAACAAGCUAGCUUUGACGUUGGAAAAGUGGCAUGACCUCUCUGAAACCUAAUCUGUACCAUGGGGAUAAUAGAGAAAUACCUACCUUGGAGGGUUGGUGUGAGAAUUCAGUGAGAUAGUAUUUGUAAAAACUACAACCCUGUGCCUGGCACAGAGCAAAUGCUAAUCCUAUGCAUUCAUUCCUUUAGUUCACAAAUGUAUAUCUAGUGGUUUCUCUGUUUUAAGCUGGCAGGACGGGAGAGAGGGGUGGCCAUGACAGUGAUUGACAUAGAAACUCCCUGCUCUCAUUAUGCUUACAUUCUAACAGGGAAGAUGGGCAAUAUAAAGAAAACAAAUCAAAGAUUGUUAUCAGAUAGUGACACGUGCUAUAAAUAAAAUAAAAUAGGAUAGCACAGAAGAAAGUGAUGAGGCAGGGAACAGGAAGUUGCUAAAUAAGCUAAGACCUAAACAUAAGACUGAGUCAUGUGCAUAUCCAGAAAAGGAAUGUUCCUAACAGCAGAGACAAAUAAGAAAUCCCUGAGCCAAGGAUGAGCUUGGGAUGGUUCAAGA
This 1886-nucleotide long non-coding RNA is filed under the name Canis lupus familiaris (dog). RNAcentral describes it as "lncRNA (ENSCAFG00845029522.1)". The record is from RNAcentral. Lineage: Eukaryota; Metazoa; Chordata; Mammalia; Carnivora; Canidae.